Sinocyclocheilus grahami is the source of this 158-nucleotide long non-coding RNA. RefSeq lists it as uncharacterized. NCBI's taxonomy places the organism in Eukaryota, Metazoa, Chordata, Actinopteri, Cypriniformes, Cyprinidae. The transcript has 3 exons. The record is from RefSeq and is a predicted model, not a curated record.
AAUGAGUCACAUGACACCGGGGAGAGAAAAUGGCUAAUUGGGCCCAAUUUGGACAUUGUCACUUAGGAGUGUGCUCACUUUUGUGGCCAUUGGUCUAGACACGAAUGGCUGUGUGUUGAGUUAUGUUGAGGGGACAGCAAAUUUACAUUCAUACAAGC